CCUACGGGUGGCAGCAGUGGGGAAUAUUGGACAAUGGGCGAAAGCCUGAUCCAGCCAUGCCGCGUGUGUGAAGAAGGCCUUCGGGUUGUAAAGCACUUUCAGUGGGGAAGAAAGCCUUGGGGCUAAUACCCUCGAGGAAGGACAUCACCCACAGAAGAAGCACCGGCUAACUCCGUGCCAGCAGCCGCGGUAAUACGGAGGGUGCGAGCGUUAAUCGGAAUUACUGGGCGUAAAGCGCGCGUAGGCGGUCUGAUAAGCCGGUUGUGAAAGCCCCGGGCUCAACCUGGGAACGGCAUCCGGAACUGUCAGGCUUGAGUGCAGGAGAGGAAGGUAGAAUUCCCGGUGUAGCGGUGAAAUGCGUAGAGAUCGGGAGGAAUACCAGUGGCGAAGGCGGCCUUCUGGACUGACACUGACGCUGAGGUGCGAAAGCGUGGGUAGCAAACAGGAUUAGAUACCCGUGUAGUC
Molecule: ribosomal RNA, 465 nt
Filed under: Vreelandella stevensii
Lineage: Bacteria; Pseudomonadati; Pseudomonadota; Gammaproteobacteria; Oceanospirillales; Halomonadaceae
Description: partial 16S ribosomal RNA
Rfam family: Bacterial small subunit ribosomal RNA
Source: RNAcentral